Molecule: small nuclear RNA, 291 nt
Filed under: Dasypus novemcinctus (nine-banded armadillo)
Lineage: Eukaryota; Metazoa; Chordata; Mammalia; Cingulata; Dasypodidae
Description: 7SK RNA (ENSDNOG00000040190.1)
Rfam family: 7SK RNA
About the family: 7SK was discovered as an abundant small nuclear RNA in the mid-70s but a possible function has only recently been suggested. Two independent studies have found that 7SK RNA binds the CDK9/cyclin T complex (known as elongation factor P-TEFb). P-TEFb activates transcription by phosphorylating the C-terminal domain of RNA polymerase II.
Source: RNAcentral
GAAUGUGUGGGUGAUCUAGCUGCUAAAUCUGUCACCCGGGUAAUCAACCAGUGUUGAUUCGGCUGAUCUGGCUGGCUAGACUGGUGUCGUCUUCCUCCCCCACCAGUCCAUGUGCAUCUCUCCUGAAGCUGCUCCCUGGAUGGAAAAGGAGCACCUUCACCUGUAGCAUAGGACCGUUCUUCCUCAAGGUAUACGAGUAGCUGUGAUCCCCUGCCUGAACCUCCAAACAAGCUCUCAGGUAUUUGUUAAUAUGUGUAAGGCUAAGCACCACGCUCCCCUUUGGGGAGUCCA